Long non-coding RNA from Passer domesticus (house sparrow), 1672 nucleotides. RefSeq lists it as uncharacterized. The record is from RefSeq and is a predicted model, not a curated record. The transcript has 3 exons. NCBI's taxonomy places the organism in Eukaryota, Metazoa, Chordata, Aves, Passeriformes, Passeridae.
CACCUUUCACUAGGCCAGGUUGCUUAGAGCCCCAUCCAGCCUAUCCUUGAACACUUCCAGGAAUGGGCAUCUACAGCUUCUAUGGGCAACCUGUUCCAGUGCUCACCACUCUCACAGAAAGGUGCCCAGUAGGUUUGACACCAAAGGCAACAGCUCUGUUUUGGAUACAAGCCUUCAAAGAAAAGAGUCUGAAACCUGACUUAAGACUGGGCAGCAACUCUUGGUCACAGUAUUCCAAGAAAGUAAGUUUCUCAAAGCAGUACAACAGAUAUGAACACGAAGAAUACUCAUGCCUCAUCCUACCGACACUGAGCUAGCCAAGAGAGGUCCUUUCCACUAACUUGAGCUUCACUGUGCCAUUCAGAGAAAUAUGAUGAAGAAUUUCCAAGUCUGGAGUUUUCACUAUUUCUACAGAACCUAUGUUCUCUAAAGUAUAUAGGUGCUCUGAACCAAAGGCAGACAGCUAAACAUGAAUGGAUAGGCAUUUCUGGCAAUUUGUAGGCACUUGCUAAUUUUCAGGUGAAAGCUAUCAAGAGAUUUUAAGACCACUCUGCAGAAAGAAAGCAAAAGAGUUAAGAUUUUUCCUGCCAGUUCAGCAGAAUUAUACACAACUCCAUUUUUGUACACAAACCAAUGCUAAUACUGCACUGGUCACCAAGCAUUUCUUACAUGAUUUGGUCAAAGCCCCUGUCUUAUUCUUUGACUUAUUCUUUCCUUCCUGCUAAGACUAAAAUAUACUCUUACAUUUUGAGCCAGAAAAUUACUCCAAAUACAAAGUGAAGAGGCUGCAUACUUCCUCCAGCUGCCUCCCCAGUUUUUCAGAAAUAAUAUUUUCUUCCUCAUCUAGCUCAAUGUGUUUCAGAAACAGCAAAAACCUGGCUUGAGGAAACAUUUGUCACUCUCUGGCCCAAAUGCCAGCAAGACUGGGUCAAAACCUCUGAAAAUUAACGCCUGCUCUGUGCAGGUUUUUAUGAGAUUUCACUGCUAAGCACGUCUCGAGGGAUCAUUGCAGCCAAAGAGCAGAACACACAAAGGCAGCAGGCCAGAUUAGCGCAGGGAUAACAAAUGCCCAAGGCUUUUGCCUUGUGAAAAGAGAGCUAUGUUUCCCCCAACCUUUACUAAUGAGCCAGACAUCAUCUUCCUUCUUUAGGGAGUAACAGACACCAACCCAGUCAUACAGCACGCAUCUGACCAAGGACAUGGUGCCCCCCACAGACCACCAAACAGAUGUUUCUGGUAUUUACAAAACAGAAAGGAAACUGUAGAGAGUAUGUACAGCCUGGGCAGCUGUUUUCUGUGAACCUGUCCAUGUUCUGUGUGUCUACCAGGCAUGUUUACUGAGACCUCAGCAAGCAGACCUCUCCAGGGAUGCAAAUACAUGAGUUCUCAUGCCUGUCCCACAACUCACCUCUUUGGCAGAGACUGCUGGCAAGGCUGAGCACAUGCUCCUAGACUCACCAGCCUUUCAGAACUGCUUUAUGUCACUUCUCCAAAACAAUUUCUACUUUAACAUUUUCCUGAUGUCUACCUGGGCUCUCACAUGUUCCAGAGAAGCAAAAUUUCUUCCUGCCACGUUUUGCAACAAGAACCGUAUGUGUACAGCACAGCACCGGCUCCCUGAUUUACCUCAUGGUUAUUCCCCAAGGCCCUGAUUCAGAGAGUAGCUCUUUUC